Molecule: RNA transcript, 2954 nt
Organism: Gopherus evgoodei (Goodes thornscrub tortoise)
Lineage: Eukaryota; Metazoa; Chordata; Testudines; Testudinidae
Gene: DCDC2B
Gene name: doublecortin domain containing 2B
Exons: 11
Source: RefSeq, a predicted model, not a curated record
UUGUAGUGUCAAAUGCUAGGGAUGGGAGGCUAUUGCUUCAGGUGACAGGGUAUAUGUUGAAGGAAAGCUCUCCAGGUGUAACCAGUUCACAAUGUAAAUAAAGCUUUUGGAUGCAUCCUUUAAUGCAUACGUCUUUCUGGCCAACUCACUUGACUCCAUUUAUUAUAGACUAGGCCUGUAAACAUAUGGAGGGGUACUUCAGAAUUUGGUGGGUCCAGCCAAUGUAAACUUUGAAACUCUCUGGGCUGGUCCCAUUGAAGGCUAAUGAGCUAUAACUUGAGCAGGAUGAAGGUUUGGCCCUCUGUGUUCAAGAGCAGGAGAGGAGCUGUCAUAGGCUGGUCUCAUCACUUCACCCCCUCUGCAGAGAUGGGGAAAUCAGUAACUUUGGGAAUCAGGCUGGUAUCUAUGCUCUCAGCAGUGGAAUAGAGAGCAGGGGAAGACAGGUAAGUAUAGCUUUGUUUGUAGUGAAAUAUUGUUUUAAUAGCGGGCAUGUGAGUAAGAGAUGUUUGGCUUGAAUUCCUCUGCAAACUGGUCUGCAGUAGUUCAAGCUUCCCCCCUCCCAGUCCUGCUACCAUCUUUCUACUGUAGGUACUUUUCUGGCCUCCCACUUACUACAGGAAACCUGUGGCAGAGCAGGGAAUUGAACCUGGGUCUCCCUGGUUGUGGGCUAAUACCCUAAUCACUGGCCUAUCCUUCCUCUCCUGUAGGCCAGCAGAUUAGUUCAGUCCCAUAGUCCAUUUUGAUGACGGUAGCUACGGAGCUAAUUAAUGCAAAUGCGGGAGGGGGGUUGCUUUGUGAUGCAGAGGAUAGUCAACUAGGCACUGCAUUGGCACCUGCCAAACUCCUAUCACACAGGCCACUGAGCAGUUAUCAGAGAGUGACAACUUUUCAGACACCUCCACUUGGCUGGAUUUGAAUCGCCACUGCAGAGGUAAUCAGCCUUGUCUGCUCUCCUGAGCCAUCCAGUCUCCGGAUUUCGGAGCUGUGCUGGGCUGUGAGUGCUGUUUGGUGUAGUAGAGGAGAGGUACUGAGGAGCUGUUUGGUUCUCGGUUUGAGUGACUCAGCCUCCAGGCCGGCCCACAAAACUCCCUCCUCUUGCUGGGCCUGCAGCCAUGGAAACGGCAAGAGUCCCUUUUAGAACACAGCUCUGAGAAGGGAGAGGGAGCACAAAGGCAGCCAGCCAGCAAGGGCUUGUGCUUAGCACAAGGGUCCCUGGGGUUUUCCUCUUCCAGCCUUUGCCCUGUGCUGAUCGCUGAUCGGCUUGUCUCUCUCUGAUCAGUGAGGUGGACGCAGCUCAAGAGGAUGAGCUCUAGCACAAUAGCUCUGGCCCCUGUGGCCAAGAACGUGAUGGUAUAUCGCAAUGGGGACUCCUUCUUCCACGGAAGGAAGUUUGUGGUGAACCAGCGCCAGUUCCUGACCUUUGAAGCGUUUCUGAAUGAGGUGACCAGCACAAUCCAUGCGUCUGUGGCUGUGAGGAAUAUCUACACCCCCAGGCAGGGCCACCGGGUCACUGAGCUGGAGGAGUUGCAGAAUGGAUGCCCGUAUGUGGCAGCUGGCUUUGAGCGGUUCAAAAGGCUAGACUAUUUAAACCCUGGAAUGAAGCAGCUCAGUGGGAGCAGGAAAAAAAAUGGCUUGCGGAUCCGCCCCAUGGUUCCCCAGAAGCUGAACUUGGCAGCACGAUGGCAGAAGCACGUCCACCUGCCCUGCAUUAUACAUGUUUUCCGGAAUGGGGAUUUGCUGAGCCCCCCUUUCCGACUGCUGCUCUCCAAGAGCAUCCUGCAGGAGUGGGACGCCAUCCUGGGCCUGCUGACGGAGAAAGCCAACCUGCACAGUGGAGCUGUUCGAAAACUCUGCCAACUGGAUGGAGUCCCGGUCUCCACUGGCGAGGAGUUGGUGAACGGUGAAUACUAUGUGGCGGUCGGGGUGGAGAAGUACAAAAAUCUGCCCUACUUUGAACUGCUGGUGCCUAAGAAUUCUGGGCACCAGGCAUUACGGAACCAUCCAAACAACAGACGCAGGAUCCACAAUCAGGGGUUUGGUAAAAGCUAUACCACCUCCCAGGAUGGAGCUAGCGACUCUGCCCUCAUUGAUCCACCUCAGCAGCCAGACUAUCGCAGGGUGCAGUCCACAGGAGCCGCAGAGAAAGACAAAACCCCCGUUCCUUCUCCAGCAGUGCGCAGACAAGCGAGGAAAUAUCCACACAAAGAGGAAGAGUCUGUUUUCCACGCCAAGCCUGUCCGUGCAGGGCAAAACAGGACAAAUAGCAGGAACGUGCAACACUGGCCUGACCAAGAAGAGGGAAGUGUCUAUAAAGUGAAAUACCCAAGAAAUGAGAUGCAAGGUGCCCGGGAAGUAAUGGAGAAUGAAUACACAAAGAUGGAGCUACCUGUUGAUCAGGGCUCUAAAUACAGGAUCUCAAGGCAGAGAAUCAGCUGUUUGUAGCUCAUAGCCUAUGAGACCGCUUCCCCACCUUCCAGAGCCUAUAUUCUUGUGGAUGAGGAUCAGAUGUGGAUCCACAUUUUUGUAUCAGCACAGGACUCUACAGAUGGCCUUUCUACAGAGCUGUAAGAGUCAUACAGUUCUCUAAGAGAAUGGAGACUUGGAGAUAAGGUUGAGAGCACUGACAGAUCGCGGAAGGCCUUGACAAUGCGAAAUUAGACCAGUGACUCAGAGGAGGAAGAGAACUGAAAGAGCCAUUUCUCUGACGGUGUGAAGCUCUGAAGAGUUUAUGAAGUGACUGUGAUGAAAUGGAGACCAAGUUAGCUUUACUCUCUGUGCAGUGGUAGAUAACAUAAGCACCUUGAUCAAAUCCAAGGACUUUGAAAAAUGCUUGUUUUAAACAAUACGAAUGCCUUCAUUAUCUGGGCUUUGUAUAGCAGGCUUCAAGUGAACAAUGAAUCAAAUAACUUCAUAAUAUAUUUUAAAAAAUAUAAAUUUAAUUUAAACCCUUUUUU